Nematostella vectensis (starlet sea anemone) is the source of this 279-nucleotide RNA transcript. RefSeq lists it as uncharacterized. NCBI's taxonomy places the organism in Eukaryota, Metazoa, Cnidaria, Anthozoa, Actiniaria, Edwardsiidae. The transcript is spliced from 3 exons. The record is from RefSeq and is a predicted model, not a curated record.
UGUGUGAUCAGAACUAGACCGGAAGUGGUGUUAGGCACCAGGUCUCCUCCAGCCCCCAUUUUGUAAGACUACUGAACCAUCCCUUGUGACAUUUGUGUACGCAAUCCGGCAUCAAAAACAUCUCGGAAAUGGCCACAGCAUGAGUUUCAGGUGGAGAUGACAUGCAAAGGGUGUUCUGGUGCUGUUGAAAGAGUUCUCAAAAAAGUUCCAGACGUGGCAAAUAUUGAGAUAGACCUUGAAAUGAAGAGAGUGUUUGUGACUUCCACACUUUCUUCUGAU